UCCUACGGGAGGCAGCAGUAGGGAAUCUUCCACAAUGGGCGAAAGCCUGAUGGAGCAACGCCGCGUGAGUGAAGAAGGUUUUCGGAUCGUAAAACUCUGUUGUAAGGGAAGAACAAGUACAGUAGUAACUGGCUGUACCUUGACGGUACCUAUAGAAGUAUUACUGCC
This 168-nucleotide ribosomal RNA is filed under the name uncultured Bacillus sp. Its description in RNAcentral is "partial 16S ribosomal RNA". It matches the Rfam family "Bacterial small subunit ribosomal RNA", at positions 337 to 497 of the family's 1533-position model. Lineage: Bacteria; Bacillati; Bacillota; Bacilli; Caryophanales; Bacillaceae. The record is from RNAcentral.